AUUGAACGCUAGCGGGAUGCUUUACACAUGCAAGUCGAACGGAAUGGCGGACGGGUGAGUAAUAUAUCGGACCAUUCCCUGUAGCGGGGGAUAACUACUCGAAGGAGAUGCUACUACCGCAUACUAUGGGAGCUACCGAUAUCGGAGUAGCUAGUGUGUGGGGUAAAGGCUAACCAAGGCCACGAUCCGUAGCGGGUUUGAGAGGACGACCAGCCACACUGGGACUGAGUCACGGCCCAGACUCCUACGUGAGGCAGCAGUGGGGAAUUUUGGACAAGGGGGGAAACCCUGAUCCAGCCAUCCCGCGUGUAUGAUGAAGGCCUUCGGGUUGUAAAGCACUUUUGGCAGAGAAGCGGUAUCUGCAGAAUAAGCACCGGCUAACUACGUGCCAGCAGCCGCGGUAAUUC
RNAcentral lists this ribosomal RNA (407 nucleotides) under uncultured bacterium. Its description in RNAcentral is "partial 16S ribosomal RNA". It matches the Rfam family "Bacterial small subunit ribosomal RNA", at positions 30 to 526 of the family's 1533-position model. The record is from RNAcentral.